CUGGUUGAUCCUGCCAGUAGUCAUAUGCUUGUCUUAAAGAAUAAGCCUUGCAUGUGUAAGUAUGAACAAAUUCAGACUGUGAAACUGCGAAUGGCUCAUUAAAUCAGUUAUAGUUUGUUUGAUGGUAUUUGCUACUCGGAUAACCGUACUAAUUCUAGAGCUAAUACGUGCAACAAACCUCGACUUCUGGAAGGGAUGCAUUUAUUAGAUAAAAGGUCGACGCGGGCUUUUCUCGUUGCUCUAAUGAUUCAUGAUAACUCGACGGAUCGCAUGGUCUUUGUGCCGACGACGCAUCAUUCAAAUUUCUGCCCUAUCAACUUUCGAUGGUAGGAUGUGGCCUACUAUGGUGGUGACGACUGACGGAGAAUUAGGGUUUGAUUCCGGAGAGGAAGCCUGAGAAACGGCUACCACAUCCAAGGAAGGCAGCAGGCGCGCAAAUUACCCAAUCUUGACACGGGGAGGUAGUGACAAUAAAUAACAAUACCUGCUCUAUGAGUCUGGUAAUUGGAAUGAUUACAAUCUAAAUCCCUUAACGAGGAUCCAUUGGAGGCAAGUCUGGUGCCAGCAACCGCGGUAAUUCCAGCUCCAAUAGCAUCUAUUUAAGUUGUUGCAGUUAAAAUCUCGUAGUUGGACUUAGGGGUAGGUCAGCCGGUCUGCCUCACAGUGAGCACCGGUCUGCUCGUACCUACUAUCGGUGAUGCGCUCCUGACCUUAAUUGACCGGGUCAUUCCUCCGGCGCUGUUACUUUGAAGAAAUUAGAGUGCACAGAGACGGACCAGGCCCAAGUCCCCUG
Gossypium raimondii (Peruvian cotton) is the source of this 793-nucleotide non-coding RNA. The record is from Rfam. NCBI's taxonomy places the organism in Eukaryota, Viridiplantae, Streptophyta, Magnoliopsida, Malvales, Malvaceae.